This 460-nucleotide ribosomal RNA is filed under the name uncultured bacterium. RNAcentral's name for it is "partial 16S ribosomal RNA". It matches the Rfam family "Bacterial small subunit ribosomal RNA", at positions 338 to 795 of the family's 1533-position model. The record is from RNAcentral.
CCUACGGGAGGCAGCAGUGAGGAAUAUUGGUCAAUGGACGAGAGCCUGAACCAGCCAAGUAGCGUGAAGGAUGACGGCCCUACGGGUUGUAAACUUCUUUUAUAAAGGAAUAAAGCGAGUUACGUGUGCGUCUUUGCAUGUACUGUAUGAAUAAGGAUCGGCUAACUCCGUGCCAGCAGCCGCGGUAAUACGGAGGAUCCGAGCGUUAUCCGGAUUUAUUGGGUUUAAAGGGAGCGUAGAUCGCUUGUUAAGUCAGUUGUGAAAGUUUGCGGCUCAACCGGAAAAUUGCAAUUGAUACUGGCAGGCUUGAGUACAGGUGAGGUAGGCGGAAUUCGUGGUGUAGCGGUGAAAUGCUUAGAUAUGACGAAGAACCCCGAUUGCGAAGGCAGCUUACUAAACUGUAACUGACAUUGAUGCUCGAAAGUGUGGGUAUCGAACAGGAUUAGAUACCCUAGUAGUC